Molecule: long non-coding RNA, 1669 nt
Organism: Oncorhynchus nerka (sockeye salmon)
Lineage: Eukaryota; Metazoa; Chordata; Actinopteri; Salmoniformes; Salmonidae
Exons: 3
Source: RefSeq, a predicted model, not a curated record
UAUACAUGGUUUUUAGGGAUGCUGACGGAAAAGGGGUAGCUGGUGAGGGUGGUCCCUCAAGAGAUUUUCCCCGGCUGCUAAUGAGUGCCAUCCAUUCCUGUAACAGCCGUUGACGGUGGAAGAAGAGGAGGACCAAGGUGCAGCGUGGUAUGUGUCCAUAUUUAUUAAAUGAACACGGAAAUAACAAAACUAACAAAUAGAACGACCGAAAACAGUUCUGGCUGGUGCAGACACACAACAGAUAACAGAAAAUAAUCACCCACAAAACACAAUAGAAAACCCGGCUACCUAAAUAUGGUUCUCAAUCAGGGACAAUGAUUGACAGCUGCCUCUGAUUGAGAACCAUACCAGGCCAAACACAGAAAUAGGAAAACUAACAUAGACAACCCACCCAACUCACACCCUGACCAUGCUAAAACAAAGACAUAACAAAAUAACUAAGGUCAGAACGUGACAAUUCCUCUGCAAUAUUUGAGGGACCUGACUGGCAAAAAUGCCUUUCUAGCAACUCUCAAGGUGAGUUACACUUACACCAACAAAGACACGCUUGUUUAUGGCAAUAUGUAUGACUUGAGUAAGACAUUUGAUUUUUGCAUGUUAUGUAAUGUGUCCUGUAUUUACCGUUUGUCUUUUGUGUGACAGCACGUAUUGCGUAUACAUGCAGGAGGGCCGCAUGAUUGCUGUCUGUCUGGUACAUGGGGGUGUAUAGCCAAAAUUUAUUUCAGAGAGGCUAUACCGGCAAGUGUGUGGCCUACAACCUCCUGUGCCAGAACUGAAAGAAACGGCGGAAAAUAACUUCAGAGAGAAGUUGGAGAAGGGUUUGCACCCAGAGGCCUGAGUCUGCUAACCAGUUUGUGGGUCAGGAUGGUGUUGAAAGCAGAUCUAUAAAAGAUAACGCACUCUGACACACUGCAGUAAAAAAUGCCAACCAGGGGCUCUCAACCAGGUGGCUGAAGACGUUUUGCCUGACGUCAAACAUUAACAAGUGUCGGAUUAAAGUGUCUGAAAAAAUUUAAACAGAACCAUAAGAGCAGAUUCCUUUUUUUGUCUCCUUUACUGGCACAGUGGUUUUGAAAUAAUUUAUAAUUGUAGUCACUUUCAAUUGAUACAUUGACUCAAAGAACCAUAGAUUGUUUGUAGUUCAUAACAUUUAAACGUUGCUUGACUAGUAAAUUGGGAUACAUGUUAAUAAAAUUUGAUAUUUUAUUGGGCUUAAUGUUGAAUACCUUGUCGUGUUGUGCAUGCCAACCAGGUGAGAAUUACCAGAAUGAACUGUGAUACUUGAUGAAUCAGGUCUUCCCUGCUGUUUUAUCAGCCUCUCCCUUGCCCACUCCAAGCUCCUCUUCAUAGUUCCCUACUGCAAGACACAAUUGUGUGAAAAUAAAGCAGAAGGAAUCAGAACCCUAUUCAAUUGAAGCAGUACUAUAUAGUACUGGGUAUAUGCCUGAAGUUAUUUUACCCUAAUAGGCUUUGAUGGAAAGUAAAUAUUCCAAAAAUGAAAUGAUUGUGCACAUUAAAGUCUACCCUGUUCGAAAGCUGAUAUGUUGUAGACCACCAUUUUAUUACGUUUGCAAUUGCAACAAAUAAUCUGCUCAGACCCCAACCAAGGAACAUCAAAAGUCGUGCUAUAAAUUCACAGACAACACAAAGAUGUUACAGUUUACAUGUU